ACAAACAAACCACUGCUGCACCCCCAGCGUUGCACUUCAGUUAUGUAUUUUAAAAUAUAUAGACAUUUUUUAAUGUUUUGAGGAGAGAAGCACCUCACUGAUCCUGGGCGUCCCACCCAGGUUUUGCGCUGUCUAUAGGGGAACUAAUGCCAUGGCCGCUUGUCCUCAGCUCCGUUAACACAACACGGCCUCUCCCUGGGAGAAACCCCCAAAUUACACCCUUCCCUGCAAGCUGCUCGUUUACAGCUUCCUAAAUUAGGACGGCUAUGCCAUUACCGAGGGCACCGCGCUGCUGGGGGAAAGCUUUGUGCCAAGCGGGCCAUGCCCCUGAGCUGCCCUAAAAGCGGGGAUUUAACCCCAAAAUGGGAAACGUGCGGUGCUACUCGGAGGGUCGUGGGGGUGGGCAGGAAGCACCGCCGGAUGGAGCGGGGAGCACGCGGCACCACCGGAGGGAGGAAGUGAUGGAGCGUGGUGCUGCCCCUGCUCUCUCACCCCUUUCCCCAAAAGCAAAAAUAUGCUAUGGAAAAAAACAAACAAACAAACAAACAAAAAAAACCACCAACAACGAAGGGAUGGGACAGCACAUCCUCUCCGAUGCAGGAGGGAGCCAGCUGGGUUUGGAGAGGUCAGGAAGAAAGCACCGGGAAGCACACUGAGUGGCUUAAAAUACGUAUUUAAAAGUUGGAAAAGGGGAUGGAACCAAGGCCAGGCUCCUUUCGGGUUGCAAACUGGAGCUGAGCCCGUUGACCGUAAGGGUUCCUUCCUACGGGGUCCUCCCGCAGCAGGCUGCGCCGGAAGGAAGCGACUCGCUCCACCGCAAAGAAAGCUCAAAGAAAAGGCACCCACCAUCUCCUGCACCCAUCCCACUCCGGCAUCAGGGAGCCACCCAGCUGGCACGUGUCCUCCCGAAUGCCCCAGAGCUGAGCUGCACACGCGUUUGUCCUUCCUCUGUAACCAGACAAUCCACCUGAAGCACAUCAGCCCCACAGGGAAGACUCAGGAGCCUUCCCCAUUGGAGACCCGAAAUGCCCCGGCCCUGCAGCAGGCACUGACAGCACAGUGCAUAAAUAUUUACAGAAGCCCAGCAGGCCAAGGGAAAAGGGAGAAGGAGCUGUCGGUGUCACCAGGAAGGAGGGAAAGGAAUGUAAACGCAGCCUGGAGGCAGCCCGAAAAUGGUAAAGGCUGGGGAGCAGGGUGUGCCAGCAGCCCCAACACUAUGGAGCACUGAGGGCUUCCCCCCGCCUGUGGGAGCCUGAGCUUUGCAGGCCCCAGCAACUUAGGUUUGCAGUCUGGCCUCUGCUCUGCAGCGGACUUCAGGCAUCAGUUGGAAACGUGAACCCACAGUGAUGCCAUGCCCUGAUGCUAAACGUAUCUUCACACUGAGCCUGGGGCAAAAAUGCAUGUCACACCAGUUUGUGGAAUGGCUGGGAAUUUGCAGUUUCCUCAACAGUCGCACUGCUGUGGGGCACUGCUGCAAACUUCUGGAUGAGAUGGGGGACCCCAAAGCACCCCUCGCUCUCCUAAGGUUCAGAAAAGGAAGUGAAAGUGUGCAUUGGGCAGCUGUCUGCCUCUUUCCCUGCUCCAGAAAACCUUUUAUUCUCCUCCUGUGAGUUUUCCUUCCCUUGGCUGAACAGGGAGCCGGUGAAGGCCUCUGAAGCACCUUUCCACCACGUCUGUUCCAGCAUUGCACCUGGUUUUGGAAGCCACCAUCAGAAAAAGCACAUUUUGGAUCUUUCUGGAACAGCUUUUUGACACAGCGCCUCGUGGUUGUGCCAUCUGCCGGUACGUCCCCAGCGGGACUUUCCUUGGUAGCUCUCCAGCUACACAUUCAGGAACCUCCAUGCCCUGCAGAUGCUUCUGCCCUGCAAACAUCCUGCUUUAGAAGAGCAAUCACCACGUGGAUAAAUGGGGCUAAGGUCAAAGAAACCCCACACGUGUCACUGUCAUAGAACCAAGAUCUUUAUUGACCUCACUGUAACAGCAACCACCGGUGGGAGCUUUCCUCCGCCUGUGCAGGAGACAGGAAAACCAAAAAACCCACCGACAACCCUGAACAGCAGAGAAGCUGCCCCGAGACGCCGGGCACUCCUUGCUUUUCAGCCAGAAUCCCGUUUAAAACAAAACAAAGAGAAAAAUAAUCAGUAGAAAGUCGUAGAAAUGUCGUAGAAAGCUGUAGAAAGUUCGCUUUGUCCUUGAUUGUUUUUUUCUUGGCUCGCAGAGCAGCUGUCCCGCAAGGCACCGCGUGGCUGAUGGCCAUCACCUUCCCCACCGCCACACUGCGUCCCCCGGCUGCUCCGGGGCCGUGCCUGACCCCCGAGGGCCAACGUUUUAAGGAAAAAUAUAUUUCUCUCUAUAUAACAUAUAUAUCUGUGUGUGUGUCACAAGCACUCAGCUGCACGCGCAUCGUACUUCCACUCGCAUUCGCUUGCUCACAGCGUCCCAAAAAGCACCCGGCGAUGAAGCCCACCCCAAACCCCAUGGCACAGAUUGGGGUUUGAGGGAAGAGACGCUGCCGCUCGGCCCUCCCUUCUCCCCGUAUCGUGGUUGUCCCUCUUUUUAGUACCAAAAAGUGGAAAACUGAGGGCUCUGUGCCACGUACGGCCCCAUAGAAAUUGGGAGCCCAGGUGCCAGAGGGGUCUAAUCUGGACCCAAGAGUUUGCACUGCACGGAGAUGCCGGCACCUUCCCAGUGCCGUGGCUGCUGAAACUUCCCAGGGAAGGCCCAGGAUGGGAGCCCAGAAGGCAGCACCUCCAUUUCCAGGCACUGUUCCUUAAGACCAGUUAAGAGAAGGGGAUGGAGCGGGGCGAUGCGGCGAAAGACCAAAACAAAACAGGAGGGGAAAAAAAAACAAACAAACAACGGACCAAUAAACGGGGCAAUGGCGAAGGAGAGCGGCGGGCGCCCGGUCAGAUGUCCAUCUCGAACUGCGCGUCGUCCCCUGCAAGAGACACCAAGAGAGGCACGUGGGCAUCCCACGGCUCGGGGACGCCCGGGAGGGGCCGCCCGCUUACCGGCCGCUGGCUUGCCGUCCUGAUUGCUG
This is a long non-coding RNA of Meleagris gallopavo (turkey), 3040 nucleotides long. The record is from Ensembl. Lineage: Eukaryota; Metazoa; Chordata; Aves; Galliformes; Phasianidae.